Molecule: ribosomal RNA, 513 nt
Filed under: uncultured Bacteroidales bacterium
Lineage: Bacteria; Pseudomonadati; Bacteroidota; Bacteroidia; Bacteroidales
Description: bacterial SSU rRNA
Rfam family: Bacterial small subunit ribosomal RNA
Source: RNAcentral
UUUAGAUCCUGGCUCAGGAUGAACGCUAGCGACAGGCUUAACACAUGCAAGUCGAGGGGCAGCGGGGAUGAAGCUUGCUUCAUCCGCCGGCGACCGGCGCACGGGUGAGUAACACGUAUGCAACCUGCCCCUGGCUGGGGGAUAAGCCGGAGAAAUCCGGUCUAAUACCGCGUAACAUCCUUACGGGACAUCCCGUUAGGAUCAAAGGAAGCGAUUCCGGCCAGGGAUGGGCAUGCGGCGCAUUAGCUAGUCGGCGGGGUAACGGCCCACCGAGGCGACGAUGCGUAGGGGUUCUGAGAGGAAGGUCCCCCACACUGGUACUGAGACACGGACCAGACUCCUACGGGAGGCAGCAGUGAGGAAUAUUGGUCAAUGGGCGCGAGCCUGAACCAGCCAAGUCGCGUGAGGGAAGACGGUCCUAUGGAUUGUAAACCUCUUUUGCCGGGGAGCAAGCUGGGUCACGUGUGACCCAGCUGAGAGUACCCGGAGAAAAAAGCAUCGGCUAACUCCGUG